UACGGGGGGAGCAAGCGUUGUUCGGAUUUACUGGGCGUAAAGGGCGCGUAGGCGGCCACCGCAAGUCGAUUGUGAAAUCUCCGGGCUUAACCCGGAAAGGUCAACCGAUACUGCGGGGCUAGAGUGCAGAAGGGGCAACUGGAAUUCUCGGUGUAGCGGUGAAAUGCGUAGAUAUCGAGAGGAACACCUGCGGCGAAGGCGGGUUGCUGGGCUGACACUGACGCUGAAGUGCGAAAGCUAGGGGAGCGAACGGG
Molecule: ribosomal RNA, 254 nt
Filed under: uncultured bacterium
Lineage: Bacteria
Description: partial 16S ribosomal RNA
Rfam family: Bacterial small subunit ribosomal RNA
Source: RNAcentral